Molecule: ribosomal RNA, 506 nt
Filed under: uncultured bacterium
Lineage: Bacteria
Description: partial 16S ribosomal RNA
Rfam family: Bacterial small subunit ribosomal RNA
Source: RNAcentral
GACGAACGCUGGCGGCGUGCCUAAUACAUGCAAGUCGAACGCAUUUUCUUUCACCGUAGCUUGCUACACCGAAAGAAAAUGAGUGGCGAACGGGUGAGUAACACGUGGUUAACCUGCCCAUCAGCGGGGGAUAACACUUGGAAACAGGUGCUAAUACCGCAUAAUUCCAUUUACCGCAUGGUAGAUGGGUGAAAGGCGCUUUUGCGUCACUGUUGGAUGGACCCGCGGUGCUUUAGCUAGUGGGUGCGGUAACGGCCUACCAGGGCUGCGAUGCAUAGCCGACUGGGGAGGGGGUCCGCCAAACUGGGACUUGGACACCGCCCAGACCUCUAAGGGGGGCAGCCGGAGGGGAACCUCGGCCAUGGACGCAAGUCUUACCGGGGAACGCCGCGGGAGGGAAGAAGGGUUUCGGAUCGGAAAACUCUGGUGUUAGGGAAGAACAAGAAUGAGAGUGGAAAGUGCAUCCCUUGACGGUAUCUAACCAGAAAGCCACGGCUAACUACGUG